AAAGUCGUAACAAGGUCUCCGUAGGUGAACCUGCGGAGGGAUCAUUCACAUGAUUACUUUUAUUAAACAAACUGUGAACUUUAUUUAUAUACUAUUCGUGUUUUUGUGUUAGUUUAAUUACUUUCACAUUAAACAUUGUCAUUCGUUGAACAUAAGAUAGUUGGCUUGAAUUUUGUUUUAACUUCGGUUAUUUCAUCUUUCUUUCUCAGCUUUGAUUUGACUGAAAAUUAAACACUUUCUCUCAAUCAACCAUAAACAUAGAAACAACUCUAUGCCCUGGAUAUCUUGGUUCUC
This 294-nucleotide unclassified non-coding RNA is filed under the name Ascomycota sp. RNAcentral's name for it is "partial contains small subunit ribosomal RNA, internal transcribed spacer 1, and 5.8S ribosomal RNA". The stretch from base 1 to 47 matches the Rfam family "Eukaryotic small subunit ribosomal RNA", at positions 1785 to 1831 of the family's 1831-position model. The record is from RNAcentral. Lineage: Eukaryota; Fungi; Ascomycota.